RNAcentral lists this ribosomal RNA (458 nucleotides) under uncultured bacterium. RNAcentral describes it as "partial 16S ribosomal RNA". It matches the Rfam family "Bacterial small subunit ribosomal RNA", at positions 28 to 507 of the family's 1533-position model. The record is from RNAcentral.
GACGAACGCUGGCGGCGUGCUUCAUACAUGCAAGUCGAACGAGAAGCUGACUUCGGUCAGUGGAAAGUGGCGGACGGGUGAGUAAUAUGUAGGAAAUCUGCCUUUAGGAGGGGGACAACAGAGGGAAACUUCUGCUAAUACCCCAUAUGAGCGUAGCUGAAAUGCUAUUCUUGAAAACUCCGGUGCCUAAAGAUGAGCCUGCAUCUGAUUAGCUAGUUGGUAGUGUAAUGGACUACCAAGGCGACGAUCAGUAGCUGGUUUGAGAGGAUGAUCAGCCACAAUGGGACUGAGACACGGCCCAUACUCCUACGGGAGGCAGCAGUAGGGAAUUUUGCGCAAUGGGCGAAAGACUGACGCAGCAACGGCGCGUGAACGAUUAAGCCCUUCGGGGUGUAAAGUUCUGUCAGUGGGGACGAAACUUGACGGUACCCACAGAGGAAGCACCGGCUAACUCCGUG